Molecule: small nucleolar RNA, 93 nt
Organism: Drosophila innubila
Lineage: Eukaryota; Metazoa; Arthropoda; Insecta; Diptera; Drosophilidae
Product: small nucleolar RNA Z30a
Exons: 1
Source: RefSeq, a predicted model, not a curated record
GCCUGAUGAUGAAAGAACCUUAAUUCAAUGGGAGUGCGCAGCUGGCAACAGUUGGCGCAUGCAUGACCAUGGCCUAAUCUUCUCUCUGAUGGA